UCCGUCUGGCCCGAGGAAACCUUUGCACGCCUCCGUUACCUUUUGGGAGGCCGCCCCAUAGAAACUGUCUACCUGAAACUAUCCCUUGGCCCGUAGGUCCUGACACAAGGUUAGAAUUCUAGCCCUUCCAAAGUGGUAUCUCACUGAUGGCUCGGGUCCCCCGGAAGGAGGCCUUUUUCGCCUUCCACCUAAGCUGCACAGGAAAGGCCCAAUGCUAAUCCCAGGGAACAGUGAAGCUUCAUAGGGUCUUUCUGUCCAGGUGCAGGUAGUCCACAUCUUCACAGACAUGUCUAUUUUACCGAGCCUCUCUCCGAGA
RNAcentral lists this long non-coding RNA (316 nucleotides) under Nicotiana tabacum (common tobacco). RNAcentral describes it as "long non-coding RNA (NTAB_LNC008626)". The record is from RNAcentral. Lineage: Eukaryota; Viridiplantae; Streptophyta; Magnoliopsida; Solanales; Solanaceae.